CCAGGAUUGACAACCACUGCCAUAAAGAACCUUUAACAUCUGAAGAACCUUUCUGUUUCACGGUGAAAGAAGGUUCUUCAGAUUAUAAAAGACACAGCCUCUUUUGGGGGUGCUGAGAGGGCUGUUCUCAAGGGCCCUAUACCCUGCGUAUUUGCUUACGGAUCCCACGUAUAUGACUCCAUUUACUCAUGUGAGGUGACAGACGCUCAACACACAACAAGACAGGGUGCAAAUCAUUGGCAGAAGAGAUCAGAAAUGGCCCCAAUAAAAACAGCACUGGCAGAUUUCCUGGAACAAAUGGC
Labeo rohita (rohu) is the source of this 302-nucleotide long non-coding RNA. RefSeq lists it as uncharacterized. The transcript is spliced from 3 exons. The record is from RefSeq and is a predicted model, not a curated record. NCBI's taxonomy places the organism in Eukaryota, Metazoa, Chordata, Actinopteri, Cypriniformes, Cyprinidae.